GAUGAACGCUGGCGGUCUGCUUAACACAUGCAAGUCGAACGGAAUCCUUCGGGAUUUAGUGGCGGACGGGUGAGUAACGCGUGAGAAUCUGCCUUCAGGUUCGGGACAACAGCUGGAAACGGCUGCUAAUACCGGAUGUGCCGAGAGGUGAAAGCUUUAGUGCCUGAAGAUGAGCUCGCGUCUGAUUAGCUAGUAGGAGUGGUAAUGGGACCCCUAGGCGACGAUCAGUAGCUGGUCUGAGAGGAUGAUCAGCCACACUGGGACUGAGACACGGCCCAGACUCAUACGGGAGGCAGCAGUGGGGAAUUUUCCGCAAUGGGCGCAAGCCUGACGGAGCAAGACCGCGUGAGGGAGGAAGGUCUGUGGAUUGUAAACCUCUUUUGAUGGGGAAGAAGACAGUGACGGUACCCAUCGAAUCAGCCUCGGCUAACCCCGUGCCAGCCGCCGCCGUAA
This 453-nucleotide ribosomal RNA is filed under the name uncultured bacterium. Its description in RNAcentral is "partial 16S ribosomal RNA". It matches the Rfam family "Bacterial small subunit ribosomal RNA", at positions 28 to 523 of the family's 1533-position model. The record is from RNAcentral.